AAGAAGUGCAAAACUUGGAAUAUCUUCGGGGAGGCAAUCGAAAGCAACGGUGAUCGGACUUGGUAACUUGUAUGACUGCUGGAGGUAGUUGGAUGCAAGGAGAGUUUGAGGUUGCGGUUUGUGGAACCACCUAAAAUUCCAAGGUUGGUUUGGAGGCAAGCAAAUCUUCAAGAGUACGGAAGGCAUUCCGGGGAUUGAGAAGGUGUGGUGA
RNAcentral lists this long non-coding RNA (211 nucleotides) under Trifolium pratense (red clover). Its description in RNAcentral is "long non-coding RNA (TPRA_LNC008562)". Lineage: Eukaryota; Viridiplantae; Streptophyta; Magnoliopsida; Fabales; Fabaceae. The record is from RNAcentral.